RNAcentral lists this ribosomal RNA (424 nucleotides) under Fusobacteriota bacterium. Its description in RNAcentral is "Fusobacteria bacterium partial 16S ribosomal RNA". It matches the Rfam family "Bacterial small subunit ribosomal RNA", at positions 355 to 776 of the family's 1533-position model. The record is from RNAcentral. Lineage: Bacteria; Fusobacteriati; Fusobacteriota.
UGAGGAAUAUUGGUCAAUGGUCGAGAGACUGAACCAGCCAAGUCGCGUGAAGGAUGACUGCCCUCUGGGUUGUAAACUUCUUUUACAAGGGAAUAAAAUGAGAUACGUGUAUUUUAUUGCAUGUACCUUGUGAAUAAGCAUCGGCUAACUCCGUGCCAGCAGCCGCGGUAAUACGGAGGAUGCGAGCGUUAUCCGGAUUUAUUGGGUUUAAAGGGUGCGUAGGUGGGCUGUUAAGUCAGCGGUGAAGGUUUGUCGCUUAACGAUAAAAUUGCCGUUGAAACUGGUAGUCUUGAGUAUAGAUGAAGUAGGCGGAAUGCGUGGUGUAGCGGUGAAAUGCAUAGAGAUCACGAAGAACUCCGAUUGCGAAGGCAGCUUACUAAGGUAUAACUGACACUGAGGCACAAAAGGGUGAGUAUCAAACAGG